RNAcentral lists this ribosomal RNA (377 nucleotides) under uncultured bacterium. Its description in RNAcentral is "bacterial SSU rRNA". It matches the Rfam family "Bacterial small subunit ribosomal RNA", at positions 29 to 407 of the family's 1533-position model. The record is from RNAcentral.
AUUAAACGCUGGCGGCAUGCCUUACACAUGCAAGUCGAACGGCAGCACGGGGGCAACCCUGGUGGCGAGUGGCGAACGGGUGAGUAAAGCAUCGGAACGUGCCCUGGAGUGGGGGAUAACGUAGCGAAAGUUACGCUAAUACCGCAUAUUCUGUGAGCAGGAAAGCAGGGGAUCGCAAGACCUUGCGCUCUGGGAGCGGCCGAUGUCGGAUUAGCUAGUUGGUGGGGUAAAGGCCUACCAAGGCGACGAUCCGUAGCGGGUCUGAGAGGAUGAUCCGCCACACUGGGACUGAGACACGGCCCAGACUCCUACGGGAGGCAGCAGUGGGGAAUUUUGGACAAUGGGCGAAAGCCUGAUCCAGCCAUGCCGCGUGAGUG